This 66-nucleotide transfer RNA is filed under the name Nanatka castenea. Its description in RNAcentral is "tRNA-Phe". Lineage: Eukaryota; Metazoa; Arthropoda; Insecta; Hemiptera; Cicadellidae. The record is from RNAcentral.
AUUUUAAUAGCUUAUAGUUAGAGCGUGAUAUUGAAGAUAUCAAUGAGAAUAUAUUUUCUUAAAGUA